RNAcentral lists this ribosomal RNA (832 nucleotides) under uncultured bacterium. Its description in RNAcentral is "bacterial SSU rRNA". It matches the Rfam family "Bacterial small subunit ribosomal RNA", at positions 58 to 898 of the family's 1533-position model. The record is from RNAcentral.
CAAGUCGAGCGGAGACAGUGAGUAGCUUGCUAUGAGCUGUUUUAGCGGCGGACGGGUGAGUAACGCGUGAGCAACCUUUCCCAGACAGGGGAAUAACACACCGAAAGGUGUACUAAUACCGCAUAAGACCACGGGAUCACAUGGUUCUGAGGUAAAAGAUUUAUCGGUUUGGGGUGGGCUCGCGUCCGAUUAGGUAGUUGGUGAGGUAACGGCCCACCAAGCCGACGAUCGGUAGCCGACCUGAGAGGGUGAUCGGCCACAUUGGGACUGAGACACGGCCCAAACUCCUACGGGAGGCAGCAGUGGGGAAUAUUGGGCAAUGGAGGAAACUCUGACCCAGCAACGCCGCGUGGAGGAAGAAGGUUUUCGGAUCGUAAACUCCUGUCCUUGGAGACGAGUAGAAGACGGUAUCCAAGGAGGAAGCCCCGGCUAACUACGUGCCAGCAGCCGCGGUAAUACGUAGGGGGCAAGCGUUGUCCGGAAUAAUUGGGCGUAAAGGGCGCGUAGGCGGCUCGGUAAGUCUGGAGUGAAAGUCCUGCUUUUAAGGUGGGAAUUGCUUUGGAUACUGUCGGGCUUGAGUGCAGGAGAGGUUAGUGGAAUUCCCAGUGUAGCGGUGAAAUGCGUAGAGAUUGGGAGGAACACCAGUGGCGAAGGCGACUAACUGGACUGUAACUGACGCUGAGGCGCGAAAGUGUGGGGAGCAAACAGGAUUAGAUACCCUGGUAGUCCACACUGUAAACGAUGAAUGCUAGGUGUAGGGGGUAUCGACCCCUUCUGUGCCGCAGUCAACACAAUAAGCAUUCCGCCUGGGGAAUACGGCCGCAAGGUUGAA